Molecule: ribosomal RNA, 459 nt
Filed under: uncultured bacterium
Lineage: Bacteria
Description: bacterial SSU rRNA
Rfam family: Bacterial small subunit ribosomal RNA
Source: RNAcentral
UACGGGAGGCAGCAGUGGGGAAUAUUGCACAAUGGGCGAAAGCCUGAUGCAGCUAUGCCGCGUGUAUGAAGAAGGCCUUAGGGUUGUAAAGUACUUUCAUCGGGGAGGAAAAACAAAACUAAUAAUUUUAUUUCUUGACGUUACCCGAAAAAGAAGCACCGGCUAACUCCGUGCCAGCAGCCGCGGUAAUACGGAGGGUGCUAGCGUUAAUCAGAGUUACUGGGCGUAAAGAGCACGUAGGUGGUUUUUUUAAAGUCAGAUGUGAAAUCCCUGGGCUUAACCUAGGAACUGCAUUUUGAAACUGAAAUACUAGAGUAUCGUAGAGGGAGGUAGAAUUCUAGGUGUAGCGGUGAAAUGCGUAGAUAUCUGGAGGAAUACCUGUGGCGAAAGCGGCCUCCUAAACGAAUACUGACACUGAGGUGCGAAAGCGUGGGGAGCAAACAGGGAUUAGAUACCCGU